Molecule: ribosomal RNA, 856 nt
Filed under: uncultured bacterium
Lineage: Bacteria
Description: bacterial SSU rRNA
Rfam family: Bacterial small subunit ribosomal RNA
Source: RNAcentral
CAGAUGAAACGCUGGCGGAAUGCUUUACACAUGCAAGUCGAACGGCAGCACGGGGGCAACCCUGGUGGCGAGUGGCGAACGGGUGAGUAAUACAUCGGAACGUGCCCAGUCGUGGGGGAUAACGUAGCGAAAGCUACGCUAAUACCGCAUACGAACUGAGGUUGAAAGCGGGGGAUCGCAAGACCUCGCGCGAUUGGAGCGGCCGAUGGCAGAUUAGGUAGUUGGUGGGGUAAAGGCCUACCAAGCCGACGAUCUGUAGCUGGUCUGAGAGGACGACCAGCCACACUGGGACUGAGACACGGCCCAGACUCCUACGGGAGGCAGCAGUGGGGAAUUUUGGACAAUGGGCGCAAGCCUGAUCCAGCCAUUCCGCGUGCAGGAUGAAGGCCCUCGGGUUGUAAACUGCUUUUGUACGGAACGAAAAGGCUCUAAUUAAUACCUGGAGCUGAUGACGGUACCGUAAGAAUAAGCACCGGCUAACUACGUGCCAGCAGCCGCGGUAAUACGUAGGGUGCGAGCGUUAAUCGGAAUUACUGGGCGUAAAGCGUGCGCAGGCGGUGAUGUAAGACAGGUGUGAAAUCCCCGGGCUUAACCUGGGAACUGCAUUUGUGACUGCAUCGCUGGAGUGCGGCAGAGGGGGAUGGAAUUCCGCGUGUAGCAGUGAAAUGCGUAGAUAUGCGGAGGAACACCGAUGGCGAAGGCAAUCCCCUGGGCCUGUACUGACGCUCAUGCACGAAAGCGUGGGGAGCAAACAGGAUUAGAUACCCUGGUAGUCCACGCCCUAAACGAUGUCAACUGGUUGUUGGGUCUUCACUGACUCAGUAACGAAGCUAACGCGUGAAGUUGACCGCCUGGG